ACAGGGAUUGCCUCAGUAACGGCGAGUGAAGCGGCAAGAGCUCAAAUUUGAAAUCUGAUGUCUUUGACGUCCGAGUUGUAAUUUGAAGAGGAGUCUUCGGUUUGGACCACGAUCUAUGUUCCUUGGAACAGGACGUCGUAGAGGGUGAGAAUCCCGUACACGGUUGAUGGUCUCUUUCCAUGUGAAGUUCCUUCGAAGAGUCGAGUUGUUUGGGAAUGCAGCUCUAAAUGGGUGGUAAAUUUCAUCUAAAGCUAAAUACCGGCGAGAGACCGAUAGCGCACAAGUAGAGUGAUCGAAAGAUGAAAAGCACUUUGAAAAGAGAGUUAAACAGUACGUGAAAUUGUUGAAAGGGAAGCGCUUGCAAUCAGACUUGCUCGGGGUUGAUCAACGUUCCUUCUGGUUCGUGCACUCAGCCCCUCGCAGGCCAGCAUCGGUCCGGACGGCGGGACAAAGACCUCGGGAAUGUGGCUCUCUUCGGGGAGUGUUAUAGCCCUUGGUGCAAUGCCGCCUGCCCGGACCGAGGACCGCGCUUCGGCUAGGAUGCUGGCGUAAUGGUUGUAAGCGACCCGUCUUGAAACACGGACCAAGGAGUCUAACAUCUAUGCGAGUGUUUGGGUGUCAAACCCAUGCGCGUAAUGAAAGUGAACGGAGGUGGGAGCCCGCAAGGGUGCACCAUCGACCGGUCCUGAUGUCUUCGGAUGGAUCUGAGUAGGAGCAUAGCUGUUGGGACCCGAAAGAUGGUGAACUAUGCCUGAAUAGGGUGAAGCCAGAGGAAACUCUGGUGGAGGCUCGCAGCGGUUCUGACGUGCAAAUCGAUCGUCAAAUUUGGGUAUAGGGGCGAAAGACUAAUCG
This 852-nucleotide ribosomal RNA is filed under the name Amphosoma persooniae (nom. inval.). Its description in RNAcentral is "eukaryotic LSU rRNA". It matches the Rfam family "Eukaryotic large subunit ribosomal RNA", at positions 68 to 937 of the family's 3401-position model. The record is from RNAcentral. Lineage: Eukaryota; Fungi; Ascomycota; Orbiliomycetes; Orbiliales; Orbiliaceae.